RNAcentral lists this ribosomal RNA (200 nucleotides) under uncultured bacterium. Its description in RNAcentral is "partial 16S ribosomal RNA". It matches the Rfam family "Bacterial small subunit ribosomal RNA", at positions 328 to 539 of the family's 1533-position model. The record is from RNAcentral.
ACGCUCGACACCUACGGGGAGGCAGCAGUCGGGAAUAUUGCGCAAUGGAGGAAACUCUGACGCAGUGACGCCGCGUAUAGGAAGAAGGUUUUCGGAUUGUAAACUAUUGUCGUUAGGGAAGAAAAAGACAGUACCUAAGGAGGAAGCUCCGGCUAACUACGUGCCGGCAGCCGCGGUAAUCUGAGGCGGGCUGGCAAGGC